AUUGAACGCUGGCGGCAUGCUUUACACAUGCAAGUCGGACGGCAGCACAGAGAAGCUUGCUUCUUGGGUGGCGAGUGGCGAACGGGUGAGUAAUAUAUCGGAACGUACCGAGUAAUGGGGGAUAACUAAUCGAAAGAUUAGCUAAUACCGCAUAUUCUCUGAGGAGGAAAGCAGGGGACCUUCGGGCCUUGCGUUAUUCGAGCGGCCGAUAUCUGAUUAGCUAGUUGGUGGGGUAAAGGCCUACCAGGGCGACGAUCAGUAACGGGUCUGAGAGGAUGAACCGCCUCACUGGGACCUAAACACUGGCCAAACUCCUACGGGUGUGGUAUUAGGGGAGUCUUUUCUUCCGGGCCAAAAGUCCUUUACACCCGAAGGCCUUCUUCAGAAACCCGGCAGGGCGGGAUCAGGUUGGCCCAUUGUCAAAAUUCCCCACAGCUGCCUCCCGAAAGAGUCUGGGCCGUGUCUAAUCCGGUGGGGGGAACAUCCCCUCAGAAGGACUAGGAGCGGGGCCUGGGUAGGGUUUACCCCGCGAACAACUAAUCACAAACGGCAGUUAAAAAAAGGCUGGCCCCAAGGGGCCCCUGCUUGCCCCCCCAAAAAAAAAGCCGGGUUUAAGUAAACUGUCAAAUAAUUUUCCCCCCUUUAAUCGGAGCCUUUCACAAGCAUAAAAGCAGCGUUGCACCCUCCCCCCCAGGAAGCCCCCCUUUUUUUUCCUUCCCUUUCAAAUUUCAAGGGUAGACAGCCCCCGCUAUAAAACUAAACCAAGUACAAAAUCUAAGGGCAAUCUCAAUUGGGUUCGGCCCCGGGGAACCCUGUGUCUACACCGCGCCCCCCGCAAGACCCGCAUUGCCAAAUGAAAGGUGGAAGAAGGGAGUGACGCGCCACACUUUACACAAACGGGUCCGGGAACCCCCGCGGGACACAAAAAAAGACCCCCACCAGACUUCUAUAUGUUGUGAUAAAAAAAAAGACCCCCCUUAUUAUAUGUUUGGUUAGGAGGAUAAAGCAGAAAGACUACG
Molecule: ribosomal RNA, 1019 nt
Filed under: uncultured Streptococcus sp.
Lineage: Bacteria; Bacillati; Bacillota; Bacilli; Lactobacillales; Streptococcaceae
Description: partial 16S ribosomal RNA
Rfam family: Bacterial small subunit ribosomal RNA (bases 20-333)
Source: RNAcentral